ACGGGAGGCAGCAGUGGGGAAUAUUGGGCAAUGGGCGCAAGCCUGACCCAGCAACGCCGCGUGAAGGAUGAAGGUCUUCGGAUUGUAAACUUCUUUAAUCGGGGAAGAAAAAAAUGACCUACCCGAAGAAUAAGCCCCGGCUAACUACGUGCCAGCAGCCGCGGUAAUACGUAGGUGGCGAGCGUUAUCCGGAUUUACUGGGUGUAAAGGGCGUGUAGGCGGUUCUGCAAGUCAGAAGUGAAAUUCCCGGGCUUAACUCGGGCGCUGCUUCUGAAACUGUAGAACUUGAGUACUGGAGAGGAUAGUGGAAUUCCUAGUGUAGCGGUAAAAUGCGUAGAUAUUAGGAGGAACACCAGUGGCGAAGGCGGCUAUCUGGACAGUAACUGACGCUGAGGCGCGAAAGCGUGGGGAGCAAACAGGAUUAGAUACCCUGGUA
This 436-nucleotide ribosomal RNA is filed under the name uncultured Saccharofermentans sp. RNAcentral's name for it is "bacterial SSU rRNA". It matches the Rfam family "Bacterial small subunit ribosomal RNA", at positions 341 to 792 of the family's 1533-position model. The record is from RNAcentral. Lineage: Bacteria; Bacillati; Bacillota; Clostridia; Eubacteriales; Oscillospiraceae.